UGGGGAAUAUUGCACAAUGGGGGAAACCCUGAUGCAGCAACGCCGCGUGAGUGAAGAAGUAUUUCGGUAUGUAAAGCUCUAUCAGCAGGGAAGAAAAUGACGGUACCUGACUAAGAAGCCCCGGCUAACUACGUGCCAGCAGCCGCGGUAAUACGUAGGGGGCAAGCGUUAUCCGGAUUUACUGGGUGUAAAGGGAGCGUAGACGGCAGCGCAAGUCUGAAGUGAAAGCCCGGGGCUCAACCCCGGAAUGGCUUUGGAAACUGUGCAGCUAGAGUACCGGAGGGGUAAGCGGAAUUCCUAGUGUAGCGGUGAAAUGCGUAGAUAUUAGGAGGAACACCAGUGGCGAAGGCGGCUUACUGGACGGUAACUGACGUUGAGGCUCGAAAGCGUGGGGAGCAAACAGG
RNAcentral lists this ribosomal RNA (404 nucleotides) under uncultured Lachnospiraceae bacterium. Its description in RNAcentral is "bacterial SSU rRNA". It matches the Rfam family "Bacterial small subunit ribosomal RNA", at positions 355 to 776 of the family's 1533-position model. Lineage: Bacteria; Bacillati; Bacillota; Clostridia; Lachnospirales; Lachnospiraceae. The record is from RNAcentral.